GAUGAACGCUGGCGGCGUGCCUAAUACAUGCAAGUCGAGCGAACGGACGAGAAGCUUGUUUCUCUGAUGUUAGCGGCGGACGGGUGAGUAACACGUGGAUAACCUACCUAUAAGACUGGGAUAACUUCGGGAAACCGGAGCUAAUACCGGAUGAUAUUUUGAACCGCAUGGUUCAAAAGUGAAAGACGGUCUUGCUGUCACUUAUAGAUGGAUCCGCGCUGCUUUAGCUAGUUGGUAAGGUAAGGGCUUACCAAGGCAACGAUGCAUAGCCGACCUGAGAGGGUGGUCGGCAACAUGGGACUGUGACCACGCUCCAGACUCCUACGGGAGGCAGCAGAAGGGAAUCUUCCGCAAUGGGCGAAAGCCUGCCGGAGCACGGCCGCGUGAGUGAUGAAGGUCUUGGGAUCGUAAAACUCUGUUAUUAGGGAAGAACAUAUGUGUAAGUAAAUGUGCACAUCUUGACGGUACCUAAUCAGAAAGCCACGGCUAACUACGUG
This 497-nucleotide ribosomal RNA is filed under the name uncultured bacterium. RNAcentral describes it as "partial 16S ribosomal RNA". It matches the Rfam family "Bacterial small subunit ribosomal RNA", at positions 28 to 507 of the family's 1533-position model. The record is from RNAcentral.